RNAcentral lists this small RNA (1064 nucleotides) under Arabidopsis thaliana (thale cress). RNAcentral describes it as "ATSL084030". Lineage: Eukaryota; Viridiplantae; Streptophyta; Magnoliopsida; Brassicales; Brassicaceae. The record is from RNAcentral.
UUUUUUGUUCUUUUAGGAUUUCGGAAAGAAAAAAAAAAUAAUAUCAAAGAAACGACCACUUUAUGUAUUAUAAUACAAAUGUAAUAUAUGUAGUGGAAAGUGCAGUCCACUAAAGCUACGUCACUUUUUAUGGCAAAUAUCAUCUGAGUGUGUCGGUAUCGGAGAACUUACGAAAAAGAGGUAUACUUUGUGACAAGGGUUAUGUUAAGUGUGGUGCUCCAAAGGAAACAAUCAAUCACACACUUUUUCAAUGCUAUCCUGCAAAGCAGAUUUGGGCCCUUUCUCAAAUUCCAUCGGCAUCAGGAAUUUUUCCUACAAAUUCAAUUUUUACGAAUUUGGAUCAUUUCUUUUGGAGAAUUCCUUCAGGCAUCGAUUCGGUUCUUUAUCCAUGGAUAAUUUGGUAUAUCUCGAAAGCAAGAAAUGAAAAAGUAUUUGAAAAUGUGGAUAAAGAUCCGAAGGAGAUUUUGCUUUUAGCGGAAAAAGAUGUCCAAUUGUGGCAGGAGGCUCAAGUUGAGUUUCAUACUGAAAGUCAUGGUUCUUUGAAUUUAGAAACUCCAAUUCGGGUUAGGGAUUUAUCACAAGAUUCACCUUUUUCUGGAUUUUGGUGUUUUAUUGAUAGAUCUUGGAAAGCAAGUGAUCAGUUCUCAGGAACAGGAUGGUUCUGUCUAUCAUCUCUUGGAGAGUCGCCAACAAUGGGAGCCACUAACGUUCGUAGAAGUCUUUCCCCCCUACAUACCGAAGUGGAAGCUCUUCUUUGGGCGAUGAAGUGUAUAAAUGGAGCAGAUAACCAGGACGUAGCUUUUUUUACAGACUGUUCAGACUUGGUGAAGAUGGUGUCUUCCCCAACCGAAUGGCCGACAUUUUCAGUGUAUUUAGAGGAGUUGCAGAACAACAGGGAAGAAUUCACAAAUUUUUCUUUAUCUUUAAUUUCUCGUAGUGCAAAUGUAAACACGGAUAAAUUGGCACGAAAAAUUCGUACCGAAUCACAUCAUGUCACAUAUGUAAACAAUAUCCCUCGGGAUUGGUUCUUUUGAGUUCUAAUCUAUAUCGGUUGACAAAAAAAA